AGUUCUUUGAAUGUUUGGUAAAAUUCACAUGUGAAGCCAUCUGAUCCAGGACUUUUGUUUGUUGGAAGUUUUUUGAUUACUGCUUCAAUUUCACUAGUUGUAAUCUGUCCAUUCAUAUUCUCUGAUUCACCCUGAUUUAAUUUUGGAAGAUUAUAUGUUUCUAGAAAUUUGCCCAUUUUGCUCAGGUUGUCCAAUUUCGUGGCAUAUA
This is a long non-coding RNA of Phyllostomus discolor (pale spear-nosed bat), 208 nucleotides long. RefSeq lists it as uncharacterized. The record is from RefSeq and is a predicted model, not a curated record. NCBI's taxonomy places the organism in Eukaryota, Metazoa, Chordata, Mammalia, Chiroptera, Phyllostomidae. The transcript is spliced from 3 exons.